This 3481-nucleotide long non-coding RNA is filed under the name Anas zonorhyncha (Eastern spot-billed duck). Its description in RNAcentral is "lncRNA (ENSAZOG00000017750.1)". Lineage: Eukaryota; Metazoa; Chordata; Aves; Anseriformes; Anatidae. The record is from RNAcentral.
CUGAGAUUCAGCAACUUGAGAUGGUGCUGCUGAUAAUAAUAACUUUUUACUGAUAGCCACUUUCAUUCAAGACUCUCAAGGUUGUUUGAACAUUAUCCUGUUAAUCUGGCUGAAGGGGUUUUAAAAAGUGCCAGAUGCAGAACCCUCUGCCCAGCUUGGGAGAAGUUUGGAUGUGAUCCAGGGCUUCUUUGCUUCAUUGUCUAUAACUAAAAGAUCCUAAUAUCUCCUGGAGGUAAGAUUUAUGUGCAAAUCAGAGAUACACUGGUGGUGAGCCACAUAAAACCUCUUUUGGCUAGUGCUAGAGGCGCUGUUGUUCUGAGAGUAUGAAAUAAGACAUCCUGUUCCCAAUCAGAUUUUUAUUUUUGAUCUUUCAUGUGACUAAAUUCUGGGAAACUUUAAGAAAACACAGACUGCUAUUCAUUUCAAAAGGAUCAGGAUUAAAACUAAAGAUAGACAUAACCUUUUUCACCCCUAAGCUGCUUUUGAGAAAUUAGGUGCAUCUUUAUUUUGGCUUAGUCUUUGCUCGCAUCUUUUGAGGUGCUGGGAUGCCAUUUAAAGUAGAGCUGUGCUUCCAACAAUGCCUUUUGCUCAGCUGAGCUAAAGGAAAGCAAUACAGAACAGCAAGUACAUAAAUCAUCUUCCUCCAGCAGAUCCCUCUUCUAUUAACAUUCUCCUUGGUGCCAGUGACAGAGAAGUAUUAAAGCAGCACUUUUUUUUUUUUUUUUUUCUCUAGGACAGCCACUUUUGCUGUUGUCAAUAUAAUCACAGCUGUUCUUGGUCUGAGACAUUAAACAAAGUCCCAGGUGCUCAUUAUAUGGAGAUGAAUAAUUAACUUACUAUUUUAAAAAAGAAGCCUUGCUUUUUAAUAAGCAGUUCUUCAAAUGUUCAGGCUACAGGAAAGGGAGCUGGAGGCUGGGUGACAAUGAAUGCAGCAAGGUCAGCUCUCUGGAAAGGACACACGCUUCUGGAGUGGAAAGACUCCAGCCUUGCCCUCCCCUGCAGUAACCUCUUGUGGUUGAAUGCCUGCUGUUCAGUUUUGUCUUUGGGCCACAUGUCUCUAAGAAAGGUCUUAUCUCAGUCACUACCCUUGAAAAUCCACUAUUUCAUUUUUGAGCUGACCCUGGCGUUCCUGGUGCCAUGGUGGCACGUCUGCUGCUGCCCCUGUCCCUGGGGGGUGCCUACCCCAGCCUGCAGCUGGGACAGCGGCCCUGGAACCCCUGCUGAUGCCAUGGAGAGCCAAACCCAAGCACAAUGCAUGUCAGGCUCUGCGCAGCCUUUCCUGAAUCUCUCCCAGUUUCUCUAGGCUAGCUACUAAUACAACCCACCUGGCUUUCUCCCAUCCAAAAAAUGAAAAAAGAGGCAAGUUCCCAGAAAGAAAACAACAGGGAAGCAAGGAUAUUACACAGAGAAUGUAUCAGCUGUGUGAUUUUUAUGUAACAACAAUUUUAGGAGGUUUCAACUCAUUUUUGUAUCGUAGUAACAUCUUUUUGUGCUGCUGCAGCUACGACUGGGCUGCACUCUGAAAUGGAUCAGCAGGAGAUCCAAAAAAAAAAAAAAAAGCCUUUAAUCAGGUCCAAAAGCAUUGGUCUCAUUCUGAUUCCUGCAACUAGUUUGCAGCUCCAUAGAGAGAGGUCUAGGCCCAAGCUGGAAGGUGGGAAAAUGUAGCUGGGAGGUGGCCAACAGCUCCUCAAGCCGCUGGUCCUCCAAGGGACCGCAGUGAGGAGCCAGUCCCACACACACCCUCCUGUGGAGGCAAGUGCAAAGGGUGUGUGUGCAGGCAUCCUGCUGGAUUUGCCCCAGUAGCAGACUCUUUUUGGUGCUCAGUUGCAAAGCACCACAAUGAACAAUGCUGUCACCAGGCUUGCAGCUUAUCAAGGAGGGCAGCUGGAUCACAGAGUCACAGACAGCUGCUUUGGGAAGGGACUCAGCCUGCUAACAGUGCCUGUACUGCCAUAUGACGUUCUGCAAGAGUGAGUUUUGCCUUAUAAAGUGUGUGGUGCCUCUAUCCCUAAAUUCCUGGCUUUUGAAAGAGAGGUAGAAGCUUGCAGAUCAUUCAGGAAUGUGAAUGGAGCAACUAAUGUUUAAAGGAAGUAGUAGGUGUAUAUUUUGAUCUUGAACUGCAGCAACGUUAGUGAGUACAGAUGGGGAUGUGGCAAUAAUGUUAAGGGAAGUAUUGGUCAGUUUUGCGUUUCUUGUGGCUAUUGUUGAAUGAAAUGCAGCUGAAAAGAGAGAAGAGAUUGCAUGCAAUGUUUCUUUUUAUUUUAUUUUUUGGUAAUGUGAAUGCAAGCUAAUCCCAACAGGACUAGUCAUUGAUGUUUCAAAAAACUACCCCUGGAAACACAGAUAUUUCAAGAAAUGUUUAAAACAACAACAAACAAAGAGUAAGAGCCAUUCAAAGAGACUGGGAAUGUUAUAAGGACAAAAGUAUCCCAGUGGGAAGUGUCUGAAUUAGAAGAGAUGUAAGAGGAUGCUGUGAAGUAGAUGAUUGCUCGUUGGGCGAAGGAAAGAAUCAACGCAUCAGGGUGAGCUUCUCCCAGAGCGAAUGUCCAUAUAUCCAGGACAAGGCAGUUUUCUAUCUCACUGUUCCUCUUCCGUGACUUUCCUCCCUGAAAGAUGUACUCCCUGCACAGGACUGUCUCCUCCGAAGUCAUUGAUUCUUUCAGCUCUUAGCUCUGUAAAAAGACCCUUGUGGGUUAGCAGCACAUAAACUCAGUAACCAUAGUCUGCUUUGAGAGACUGUCAAUAUAGAAGGCUCCAUCAGUUCUCUGUUUGUUUACAUUGGUAUGUAUUCCAAAUUGCUGUCUCUAAUACCUGGGCCAGACUUGGAACUAAUUUACUGAACAUACCUGGUGUUUCACUUCCUGAAAGGGUCGAAUUAAAGUGGUGUUAAAGUAACAAACGUACUCAAAGAGCUUUAGCACAAAAUGUUAUGAAGAUUUGCAUUAGUUCCAGGCAUUAGAGCUGAAUAUUUUAGAUGUUUCAUAGUAUGCACUGGGUUCCUUUUAGUUACCUUUGUAAAAUCCAGUCCAUGCUAUGGAGGUAAUGCAGCAUUUGGAUUGCAAGGGCACGUAGUACAACACCAAGCAUCAGUUCACCACGGAUAUUUUUACACGAUAUCAGUCUGUACAGUAUGUCAGUCUUCUCUAGGGCAAAGCUGAGCCAGCAUAUCAGAAAGAAUGUAUUUUUGGCUCCUUCCUCAAGUGUAAGCAUCCUGGCUAAUCCCACAUAGGUCAUCUGAUCAUCCCUUUUUAUUCUUCCCACAAUAUGGGAUAAAGAUUUCACUACUUCCCAGGAAAGCUGUGAGAAUAAAAACUCAAAUGCUACUUCAGGAAGAUUUUAUGAAGUACCUUGGCAGAUAGUCAGUCUGCACCCAGCACCUUUCUUUCACGUUUUUCCUCACAGAGAGGAAUUCAAAAGACAUUGAAAAUGUGUGGUGUCUGUUCACCUCCCAGUAAUUCAUUCCACUGAAAGAAAGAAUAGC